UGACAAUGGGUGUCCAGUUCGACUUCUCCCAGUUGAAAUAGCUGAAAUAACUAUCACCCAGAAAUGAAAUGUCUUCACAUAAUAGAGAAAAGUUAUUCAUUUUUGUCAUCUGUCAAUGGCAAUCCACUUUUUUCACCUCCUUUAAACCGACAUGCCAGCAUUGAAAAGUGGUGAUGUGCCAUGUUGCUCGAGAACACCAACCCCAAAGAGAGGAGGAGGCAACCUUUCUUUUGUCUGAAGCUAACUCCAGCUCACCAGUUGCUUCCCUCUCAACCAAAAUACAAAUCUAAGUGUCUCCUCCAAGUCCUCUCCUAUGCUGGUGUUAUUCACCACAGGUAAGGACUCUCGGAGGGAGAUGUCGUCCACCUGCUUUGCUCUCUCGUCUGGCUCCUCUGGGAUGGAUGGGGGCAGGCUAUCCACCUCAGAGUUGCUGAACACGUAGCCGGGCAAGGUGGUGUGGGUGCUGACGCUGUGCCUGGCUUGGCUGCUGCGGUACACGUGGCUGGAGAAGAGAGAGGCGGUGCCCGAGAUCACGGGCUGACUGGUAGAGGUCUGGUUGAGACCGUACCGGUAGUUGGCACAUGCCGCCGGUCCCUUCCCGUCGAACACCAGGUUCCAGCGGGUCCAGGUCUUCUUGAUCUCUGCCUGGACCUGAAGAGAACAAGAAGAUUGUGUGGGUCAGGUUAUAGUAUAGUAUCGGUCAUGGUAUUGUGUGGGUCAUGGUAUUGUGUGGGUCAGGUUAUAGUAUCGGUCAUGGUAUUGUGUGUGUCAUGGUAUCGUGUGGGUCAGGUUAUAGUAUAGUAUCGGUCAUGGUAUGUAUGGUAGCCUAUAGUACGGGUCAUGGUAUGUGGGGUAGCCUACAGUACGGGUCAUGGUAUGUAUGGUAGCCUACAGUACGGGUCAUGGUAUGUAUGGUAGCCUACAGUACGGGUCAUGGUAUGUAUGGUAGCCUACAGUACGGGUCAUGGUAUGUAUGGUAGCCUACAGUACGGGUCAUGGUAUGUAUGGUAGCCUACAGUACGGGUCAUGGUAUGUAUGGUAGCCUAUAGUACGGGUCAUGGUAUGUAUGGUAGCCUAUAGUACGGGUCAUGGUAUGUAUGGUAGCCUACAGUACGGGUCAUGGUAUGUAUGGUAGCCUAUAGUACGGGUCAUGGUAUGUAUGGUAGCCUACAGUACGGGUCAUGGUAUGUAUGGUAGCCUACAGUACGGGUCAUGGUAUGUAUGGUAGCCUACAGUACGGGUCAUGGUAUGUAUGGUAGCCUACAGUACGGGUCAUGGUAUGUAUGGUAGCCUACAGUACGGGUCAUGGUAUGUAUGGUAGCCUACAGUACGGGUCAUGGUAUGUAUGGUAGCCUACAGUACGGGUCAUGGUAUGUAUGGUAGCCUACAGUACGGGUCAUGGUAUGUAUGGUAGCCUACAGUACGGGUCAUGGUAUGUAUGGUAGCCUACAGUACGGGUCAUGGUAUGUAUGGUAGCCUACAGUACGGGUCAUGGUAUGUAUGGUAGCCUACAGUACGGGUCAUGGUAUGUAUGGUAGCCUAUAGUACGGGUCAUGGUAUGUAUGGUAGCCUAUAGUACGGGUCAUGGCAUGUAUGGUAGCCUACAGUACGGGUCAUGGCAUGUAUGGUAGCCUAUAGUACGGGUCAUGGUAUGUAUGGUAGCCUAUAGUACGGGUCAUGGUAUGUAUGGUAGCCUAUAGUACGGGUCAUGGCAUGUAUGGUAGCCUAUAGUACGGGUCAUGGCAUGUAUGGUAGCCUAUAGUACGGGUCAUGGUAUGUAUGGUAGCCUAUAGUAUGGGUCAUGGUAUGUAUGGUAGCCUAUAGUAUGGGUCAUGGUAUGUAUGGUAGCCUAUAGUACGGGUCAUGGUAUGUAUGGUAGCCUAUAGUAUGGGUCAUGGUAUGUAUGGUAGCCUAUAGUAUGGGUCAUGGUAUGUAUGGUAGCCUAUAGUAUGGGUCAUGGUAUGUAUGGUAGCCUAUAGUACGGGUCAUGGAAGAAACUUAAUUGGAGAGUUCGGACAACUUUUAGAAAUGCACGCAAUGUUAGUGCCUUUAUCCUGAAACCUUUAUUGAUGUAACAAUACAAGAACGCCUCCGACCAUU
Oncorhynchus gorbuscha (pink salmon) is the source of this 2100-nucleotide long non-coding RNA. RefSeq lists it as uncharacterized. The transcript has 3 exons. NCBI's taxonomy places the organism in Eukaryota, Metazoa, Chordata, Actinopteri, Salmoniformes, Salmonidae. The record is from RefSeq and is a predicted model, not a curated record.